GAUGAACGCUGGCGGCGUGCUUAACACAUGCAAGUCGAACGAAGCACUUUAUUUGAUUUCCUUCGGGACUGAUUAUUUUGUGACUGAGUGGCGGACGGGUGAGUAACGCGUGGGUAACCUGCCUUGUACAGGGGGAUAACAGUUGGAAACGGCUGCUAAUACCGCAUAAGCGCACGGCAUCGCAUGAUGCAGUGUGAAAAACUCCGGUGGUAUAAGAUGGACCCGCGUUGGAUUAGCUAGUUGGUGAGGUAACGGCCCACCAAGGCGACGAUCCAUAGCCGACCUGAGAGGGUGACCGGCCACAUUGGGACUGAGACACGGCCCAAACUCCUACGGGAGGCAGCAGUGGGGAGUAUUGCACAAUGGGCGAAAGCCUGAUGCAGCGACGCCGCGUGAGCGAAGAAGUAUUUCGGUAUGUAAAGCUCUAUCAGCAGGGAAGAUAAUGACGGUACC
RNAcentral lists this ribosomal RNA (453 nucleotides) under uncultured bacterium. RNAcentral describes it as "bacterial SSU rRNA". It matches the Rfam family "Bacterial small subunit ribosomal RNA", at positions 28 to 479 of the family's 1533-position model. The record is from RNAcentral.